Long non-coding RNA from Drosophila sulfurigaster albostrigata, 750 nucleotides. RefSeq lists it as uncharacterized. The transcript is spliced from 2 exons. The record is from RefSeq and is a predicted model, not a curated record. NCBI's taxonomy places the organism in Eukaryota, Metazoa, Arthropoda, Insecta, Diptera, Drosophilidae.
UAAACAACAGCUUUUCUCGCAGUUCGGCUAAAAGUGCAAAUUCGACAAUAGGAGAAACAGGCGAUGACGAAAUCGGCAAUGAAAAAUUCCAACCGGCGUGAUAUUGUUGGCGCGUAUGUUUUUCUUACCGAGAUGCGCACUUAUCACGUACCUGUUACUUAACUCAAGUAUCGAACUGUUACCGUUACAGUUGCUAUCGAACAGCAGUUGCUCUACUCAUCUCUAUUCCAUUGGAACCAACUUCGAUUAAUAUCGUAAUCGAUUAAAAGUCUUGCCGUAUCGAUAUCAUAAGCAGGCGCAAAAUUAAAGUCAAUUUAAAAAUGGUAUGGCUUUUCAUCAAAUACUGUUUGGGUUUAUAUUUUAUUGAUUUUACUUGACUUGGAUUGUAUAUGGUACUUAGACAUAUCGCCAUAGAAUACAAACAUUUAUUGGGGAAUGCACGAAAUCUAUUGUGCGAAUGGUGUUUCGAGAUUAGGCAACGUUCUUUUCCUCAUCAUUAAAUGAGUUUAUCAUUAUUAUUAUGUUAUUAUUAUAGUCAAAAAAUGUGCCUUUUUUAUUGCUAAUUAAAGAUUGCAUAAUAAAUUAAAUUACGCUACAACUAAUAUUAAAUGUUUGCAUAAGUAUUUUUAUAACUUGUUUCUUAUUCUUGUUAUACAAAUACAUACAUGCAUAUUUACUACAUAUUUUCUACGAUUUAAGAUUUAGAAUGCACUUUGCAGCUGUUUAACGGUAACUAUGUAUUAAGAAAAG